GACGAACGCUGGCGGCGUGCUUAACACAUGCAAGUCGAACGGAAAGGCCCUGCUCUUGUGGGGUGCUCGAGUGGCGAACGGGUGAGUAACACGUGAGUAACCUGCCCUUGACUUUGGGAUAACUUCAGGAAACUGGGGCUCAUACCGGAUAGGAGCUCUUGCUGCACGGUGGGGGUUGGAAAGUUUCGGCGGUUGGGGAUGGACUCGCGGCUUAUCAGCUUGUUGGUGGGGUAGUGGCUUACCAAGGCUUUGACGGGUAGCCGGCCUGAGAGGGUGACCGGCCACAUUGGGACUGCGAUACGGACCAGACGGCUACGGGACGCAGCAGUGGGGAAUAUUGCGCAGUGGGCGGAAGCCUGAUGCAGCAACGCCGCGUGCGGGAUGACGGCCUUCGGGUGGUAAACAGCUUUCGCAGGUGACGAGGCGUGAGUGACGGUAAUGGGUAAGAAAGCACCGGCUAACUACGUG
This 468-nucleotide ribosomal RNA is filed under the name uncultured bacterium. RNAcentral describes it as "partial 16S ribosomal RNA". It matches the Rfam family "Bacterial small subunit ribosomal RNA", at positions 28 to 507 of the family's 1533-position model. The record is from RNAcentral.